CGCUUCGGAGAGAGAAAUGCUGGGGUGCAGCUUCAAGCUUAGGACCACCCACCAUGCCUAUCCAGGUGCUGAAGGGCCUGACCAUCACUCAUUAAGAACAGAGGAGGCUGCCUGUUACUCCUGGUGUUGGCGUGGCUGCAGCCAUGGCUAGGAAAGCGCUGCCACCCACCCACCUGGGCCAGAGCUGGUUCUGCUCCUGCUGCAGGGACACUGAGCUGGCUAUCUCGGCGCUUCGGGCAAGAACUGCAACAGGCUCUCCUGGGUCCUGCAGGUGUACAGCCGGGCCCCUGCCUUGUGCCUCAGCUCUCGAGAGCUGCUGCUGCCGGGUGACCUGAUCCAACCUGAUAAGGUGCCAUCUUCAGCUACCACUGCAAGGCCCUGAGGGCAACAGCAGCACGGCACUGCCCACCCGGCUGCUGAUGGCCUGGUGCCAGCUGGGAGUCCUCCCGGCACUUCGAGGCCACUGAGCCACCCUUCCAGCCCCAGCCCACCAUGGACAGGGGUAUCCAGCUUCCUCCUCAACCUCGUCCUCUGCCCCUGAGCCAGUGACGCCCAAGGACAUGCCUGUUACCCAGGUCCUGUACCAGCACUAGCUGGUCAAGGGCAUGACAGUGCUGGAGGCCGUCUUGGAGAUCCAGGCCAUCACUGGCAGCAGGCUGCUCUCCAUGGUGCCAGGGCCCGCCAGGCCACCAGGCUCAUGCUGGGACCCAACCCAGUGCACAAGGACUUGGCUGCUGAGCCACACACCCAGGAGAAGGUGGAUAAGUGGGCUACCAAGGGCUUCCUGCAGGCUAGGGGAGGAGCCACCCCCGCUUCCCUAUUGUGACCAGGCCUAUGGGGAGGAGCUGUCCAUACGCCACCGUGAGACCUGGGCCUGGCUCUCAAGGACAGACACCGCCUGGCCUGGUGCUCCAGGGGUGAAGCAGGCCAGAAUCCUGGGGGAGCUGCUCCUGGUUUGAGCUGCAUUCAGGAAGUGCGGGACAUGGUAGGGGAGGCAAAAAGCCUUGGGCACUACCCUCCCUGUGGAGCUGUUCGGUGUCCGUCGAGCUAGCCACACCCUGACACCAUGUUCAAGGGUACCGGAAGAGAAGGGUGUCUGCCCCCAACCUCCCCUGUGGGUGUCACUGGCCAGAUGUCAUGAGGGAAGCAGGCCUUGUGAGUGGACACUGACCAUGAGUCCCUGGGGGGAGUGAUCCCCCAGGCAUCGUGUGCCAUGUUGCACUUCUGCCCAGGCAGCAGGGUGGGUGGGUACCAUGGGUGCCCACCCCUCCACCACAUGGGGCCCCAAAGCACUGCAGGCCAAGCAGGGCAACCCCACACCCUUGACAUAAAAGCAUCUUGAAGCUUUUACUCCGUUUUUAUAA
Long non-coding RNA from Homo sapiens (human), 1364 nucleotides. Ensembl annotates it as multidrug resistance-related protein. Its record names the gene C19orf48P. NCBI's taxonomy places the organism in Eukaryota, Metazoa, Chordata, Mammalia, Primates, Hominidae. The record is from Ensembl.